UGGUUGAUCCUGCCAGUAGUCAUAUGCUUGUCUCAAAGAUUAAGCCAUGCAUGUCUAAGUACACACUUUGGUAAAGUGAAACCGCGAAUGGCUCAUUAAAUCAGCUACAAUUUAUUAGAUCGUACACUGUUACUUGGAUAACUGUGGGAAUUCUAGAGCUAAUACAUGCCGAGAGUCUCUGCUCUUCGGGGCAGAGCGCAGUUAUUAGACCAAAACCAGCCGUAUCUUUCGGGGUACGCUCUUUUGGUGACUCUGGAUAACCUUCAGCCGAUCGCAUGGCCUCGUGCCGGCGACGUAUCUUUCAAGUGUCUGCCCUAUCAACUUUCGAUGGUACGUGAUAUGCCUACCAUGGUGAUAACGGGUAACGGGGAAUCAGGGUUCGAUUCCGGAGAGGGAGCCUGAGAAAUGGCUACCACAUCCAAGGAUGGCAGCAGGCGCGCAAAUUACCCACUCCCAGCUUGGGGAGGUAGUGACGAAAAAUAACAAUGCGGGACUCUAAGAGGCCCCGUAAUUGGAAUGAGUACACCUUAAAUCGUUUAACGAGUAUCAAUUGGAGGGCAAGUCUGGUGCCAGCAGCCGCGGUAAUUCCAGCUCCAAUAGCGUAUAUUAAAGUUGCUGCAGUUAAAAAGCUCGUAGUUGGAUCUGGGGCUUGAGGUCGCUGUCUAUCGUUUCGGCGAUGACGGUGAUGCUCAGCUCUGCUUGCCGGUGACUGUUGCGGUGUUCUUAAUUGAGCGCUGUAGCAGCACGGCACGUUUACUUUGAAAAAAUUAGAGUGCUCAAAGCGUGCUUGUCGCUUGAAUAAUGUUGCAUGGAAUAAUGGAAUAGGACCUCGGUUCUAUUUUGUUGGUUUUCGGAGCUUGAGGUAAUGAUUAAGAGGGACGAACGGGGGCAUUCGUAUUGCGGUGUUAGAGGUGAAAUUCUUGGAUCGUCGCAAGACGGACUACUGCGAAAGCAUUUGCCAAGAACGCUUUCAUUAAUUAAGAACGAAAGUCAGAGGUUCGAAGACGAUCAGACACCGUCCUAGUUCUGACCAUAAACGAUGCCGACCAGCGAUCCGUAGUGGUUGCUUUAUGGACCCUACGGGCAGCCUCCGGGAAACCAAAGUAUUUGGGUUCCGGGGGAAGUAUGGUUGCAAAGCUGAAACUUAAAGGAAUUGACGGAAGGGCACACCAGGAGUGGAGCCUGCGGCUUAAUUUGACCCAACACGGGAAAACUCACCCGGUCCGGACACCGUAAGGAUUGACAGACUGAUAGCUCUUUCUUGAUUCGGUGGAUGGUGGUGCAUGGCCGUUCUUAGUUGGUGGAGUGAUUCGAC
RNAcentral lists this ribosomal RNA (1315 nucleotides) under metagenome. RNAcentral's name for it is "SSU rRNA". It matches the Rfam family "Eukaryotic small subunit ribosomal RNA", at positions 5 to 1315 of the family's 1831-position model. The record is from RNAcentral.